CCUACAGGAGGCAGCAGUGAGGAAUAUUGGUCAAUGGGCGCGAGUCUGAACCAGCCAAGUAGCGUGAAGGAUGACUGCCCUACGGGUUGUAAACUUCUUUUAUAAAGGAAUAAAGUGAGGCACGUGUGCCUUUUUGUAUGUACUUUAUGAAUAAGGAUCGGCUAACUCCGUGCCAGCAGCCGCGGUAAUACGGAGGAUCCGAGCGUUAUCCGGAUUUAUUGGGGUUAACGGGAGCGUAGGUGGAUUGUUAAGUCAGUUGUGAAAGUUUGCGGCUCAACCGUAAAAUUGCAGUUGAAACUGGCAGUCUUGAGUACAGUAGAGGUGGGCGGAAUUCGUGGUGUAGCGGUGAAAUGCUUAGAUAUCACGAAGAACUCCGAUUGCGAAGGCAGUUCACUGGACUGCAACUGACACUGAGGCUCGAAAGUGUGGGUAUCAAACAGGAUUAGAUACCCUAGUAGUC
RNAcentral lists this ribosomal RNA (460 nucleotides) under uncultured bacterium. Its description in RNAcentral is "partial 16S ribosomal RNA". It matches the Rfam family "Bacterial small subunit ribosomal RNA", at positions 338 to 795 of the family's 1533-position model. The record is from RNAcentral.